UCCAGCUCCAAGAGUGUAUAUUAAUACUGCUGUAGUUAAAACGCCCGUAGUAAACCUAAGAGUGUUUGCGGGGUAACUAGUUCCAGCUCCCAAUAGCGUAUAUUAAAGUUGUUGCAGUUAAAAAGCUCGUAGUUGGAUUUCGGAAGGUCCUUAGCAAUCCGCCCCUUCGGGGAGCGGGUUGCUGGCCUCCUAUGUUCCUAACGGYCCUCAUCCGCGAGGGUGGGGAAUCAACCGCUAGGAUCGUUUACUUUGAGGAAAUUAGAGUGUUCAAAGCAGGCGUAACUCGCCUCCGAAUACGUUAGCAUGGGAUAAUGGAAUACGACUUCGGUCUUGUUUCGUUGGUUUCGCUUGGCUGAAGUAAUGAUUGAUAGGGACAGUUGGGGGCAUUAGUAUUUAGUUGUCAGAGGUGAAAUUCUAGGAUUUACUAAAGACUGACCAAUGCGAAAGCAUUUGCCAAGGAUGUUUUCAUUAAUCAAGAACGAAAGUAGGGGGAUCGAAGACGAUCAGAUACCGUCGUAGUCUCUACCGUAAACUAUGCCGACCAGGGAUCCGGAGAGUUUGCAUGGAUGACUCCCCGGGCACCUUGUGAGAAAUCAUAAGUGUUUGGGUUUUGGGGGGAGUAUGGUCGCAAGGCUGAAACUAAAGGAAUGACGAAGGACCCCCRGUUC
RNAcentral lists this ribosomal RNA (668 nucleotides) under uncultured eukaryote. Its description in RNAcentral is "bacterial SSU rRNA". It matches the Rfam family "Eukaryotic small subunit ribosomal RNA", at positions 586 to 1187 of the family's 1831-position model. The record is from RNAcentral.